CUAAAACCAGGUUUCAGCUCCACUGAAGUCAUCUUCACUUUGGACCUCUUCAACUUUACAACAAGAACUUUCAACCCCAACCAAAACCUAAGCAGAUUCUGACUAAACCACCAGGUCAGCUAAUCAACCAACCAACCAAUCAUCCAAGCAACUAACCAGUGGAAUCAUGAAGAUCCAGGUUGUCGCCGUCCUGCUCUUUGCUCUUUCUGCAACAGAGAUCUGCGAGGCUCUGAACUUCUUUCAGAAGCAUGUCGUUCGCCAAAUGGCUCCUGGGGAUUGUAAUACAAAGAUGAAAGUAAUCAAUAAGAAAGGAGAAUGCAAACCAAAAAAUACCUUCUUCUUGGACCCAAACGGUGUCCUAAACGGAAUCUGUAACCAUGGUGUAGGACAACAAACAAUGGACAAUAUUUAUCUUAACAUUAUUGACUGCAAAGUUGAAAACUACCUUUAUUGCACCUACAGAUCUGUACCUGGUAGAGCAACUUCUGUUACAGUCUUAUGUGACCAAAACAAUGUGCCUUAUCACUUGGUGGGGUAGGAGGAAAUAAUGGCUAAUUUUCCACUUUGUUGUGUUAAAUGCUGCAUAUAAUUUCUGUACAAGCAGCAACAACUGAGAUCUGUAACACUUUUACUGUUUUUGUUUUCUAUGUAGUACAUUUUCUUUGACAUGAAUUUAUUACUGUUGAAAAGAACCCAUUUGCUGCAUUUCGAAAAAACAUUUGGACAAACAAAUAAACAACAGUGGAAAAGAAAA
This is a long non-coding RNA of Girardinichthys multiradiatus, 754 nucleotides long. RefSeq lists it as uncharacterized. The transcript has 3 exons. The record is from RefSeq and is a predicted model, not a curated record. Lineage: Eukaryota; Metazoa; Chordata; Actinopteri; Cyprinodontiformes; Goodeidae.